GACGAACGCUGGCGGCGUGCCUAAUACAUGCAAGUAGAACGCUGAAGAGAGGAGCUUGCUCUUCUUGGAUGAGUUGCGCACGGGAGAGUAACGCGUAGGUAAUCUGCCUUGUAGCGGGGGAAAACUAUUGGAAACGAUAGCUAAUACCGCAUAACAAUGGAUGACACAUGUCAUUUAUUUGAAAGGCGCCAUUGCUCGAUUACAAGAUGGACCUGCGUCGUAUUAGGUAGUAGGUGAGGUACUGGCUCAUCUAGGCGACGAUACAUAGCGGACCUGAGAGGGUGAUCAGCCACACUGGGACUGAGACACGGCCCAGACUGCUACAGAAGGCAGCAGUACGGAAUCGUCAGGAAUGAGGGCGACCCUGACCGCGCAACGCGGCGUGAGGGAGGAGGGUUUCCGCGUCGUAAAGCUCUGUUGUAAGUCAAGAACGGGUGUGAGAGUGGAAAGUUCACACUGUGGCGGUAGCUUACCAGAAAGGGACGGCUAACUACGUG
RNAcentral lists this ribosomal RNA (497 nucleotides) under uncultured bacterium. RNAcentral describes it as "partial 16S ribosomal RNA". It matches the Rfam family "Bacterial small subunit ribosomal RNA", at positions 28 to 507 of the family's 1533-position model. The record is from RNAcentral.